AUAUGGAGACAAAAUUUUAUUACGGUGUCAUAUUAUGUCAAUCAUGUAUUUUCUGUUUAUACACCAGUUACAGAUGCUUCACAGAAGGACUUGUUAGUUGUUGACAAAUACAUUAAUAAAAACUUAAAAUGUCCUUAUAUCUGCUUACAAGUACAUUAUAGUGUGUUAUGUGUUUUAAACCAUUUGUAAAUUGUUUAUAUAUUUCUCAUGAAUACUAAACUGUAUAGUUACAUUUUUAGUGACAUUUUAUUUUUUGGAUACACACAGGUUGUGAUUUGAGAUUUUUACAUUGCUAACAGACUCACAUCUUUACUUGCUGAACAAAUAUAAAGUACAAUCAGUUAUUGCUAGUAAAAGCAAUACAACAUUAAUUACAUCUCCUCUUUAAUUUGUUUCUGUGGCAUAAUACAGUUAAGUGAUGAUUGAUUUCUAAAAAAACAAAAACAAAAACAAAAAAACAACCAGAGGCAUACUUUGCCAGAGGAUCCAUUUGUUAAUAUUGCCAGGUUGUAUCUUCAAAUAUUGAGAUUGGAAGGUGGAACUUACAAGGAGACCUAAAAUGUGGCACAAAACAGUGUGAUCAUCCUCUCAACAGGAACAUUUAAUUUAAUUCAGCUGGGCCACACGGGUGUUUUGAAAGCAUCUUUCUUUGCUCUCAUACAAUGUAAAACAUCAAAACCAGAGCAAACAGUUAAUAACUCCCACAGCGUCAGUAUGAUAGUGAGCAGGCUUUUGAAACGGUAUCGGUGCAGUGGAGAUGGCUGAAAAUUGCAGGAAGAGGGUGUAGAGCUGAACUGCUGACAGCAGGAGUCACAAUACAUUAGCAGAUCGUCCAACUGGCUGCUCUUUCUGCAUGACAUUCCCACUGUACUGAGUUGAAUUGUUAACACACAUUGUUUGACAUUGUCACAGCUACAUCUUUUUUCCCCUCUGUAGGCAGGAAAAUUGUGCUCCAACAGGGUUAUGAGACAGGUGGAACUCCUGCGUUUGGCUCGCAGUUUUGCAUGUUUGUAAAUUGCCACCAGAAGUGAAUAAAAUGGUCCCAUGUGUAAACUCCAGCUCCGCAGGCCCACUUCAGAGACCUGAGAUCAAUUUUGGUGCAUUUAUUCUCUGAGAGAGGUUCACACAAUGGGAGUUCGGGGAAGAUCAGUUUUCAAUUGGAUAAUAGGCUUGUGAAAAGAGGGGAUCUAGAGGGCAUUGCUUUCACACAUUCUUAUGGCUUCAUAUCUGUGUAACACGAACCGUGUACCACUUCGGCCUCAACACCUCCAUAAGCCUUUUUUUCCUUAAAUCAAAUUCAAUUUGCACCUACAGCACUGCUACGUCUUUCACUACUAUAUUGUCAGACCAUAUUGAAGCUCUUCUUAAUGAGAUAUUCAAACAUAUAAUCAAAUUGAAUGAAAUUAUGUCUCUGUUUUCUUUUAAUUUUACAGUCAUUCGCAUCAAGGUUCUAUUAGGUUUCAACCAAAGCAAGACGGUUUAGAUUUUUUCCUCAAAAUGUAUGUAUCUAUCUGUCUAUCUACCUUCUAUCUUAUUUGACUGUAUUAACAUUAGUGGACAGAGCAGCUAGUCGAGGUCUAAAAGGUGCCGCUGACACUGUCCUCCUCUGCUCUCCUUUAACCCACUGCAGCCACUAGAUGGGGUAUGAUAACCACAGAGAGGCUCUCCCAGUGGGAUGCCUCCAGCUCUGGUGGGUGCUGCUACUCAUGGGAGAGAGCAUUUUGAAUCACACGGAGGGCAGCGUCUUCCUCUUCACUCACCACUCCACAGGGUUCAUCAUCCAUCCAGCUCGCCUCUUUCAUCCACGAAAUAUAAGAACAACAGCUAAGAGAGAUUUUACAAAACAGAGAUUAUGUGAGUCUACAGUAAUAUUACAAGAUAUUCUGACAGUAUAUAACUGUUUAUUUAUGUUGGUUGUGGGAUUGAUGUGAAAUAUGUUUCUUUUUUGUUCUAGUUCUAGUUAAGUGAAAAAUCCAAAAUAUACAUUUCUCUACUACAGUUGUUUCUACCUCCUUCUCCUAUGGCCAACUCUGUCUCUUUGUAUAUCAAGAAAACAAAUAAAGAGAAAGAUGGGGCAUCACAAAAAAUUGUUUUUGACAUGAAGCUGUUGCAUUAGUAUUUUACAUGUAACAAAGAAAAUAUGCUACCUUGAAAAACCCUCAUGUUGCCCUCAAAAUAUACAUUUCAAGUCAAACUGAACCUGAAGCUACUUAUGAAGGUAACCAUUUAAAUAAAUAACUAUUGUUAACUAUUGUAAUCCAUUUAAAUAAAUAAGAAUAACGUUUUACAACUUUUAUGUAUCUUUAAAUGAUUAUUUGUGAUUACUGCAGAUGCAUGUGAAUUCCUUUACUGAAUUAACUGGAAUAUUCAGUGAUGUAGUUAUACGUUCCUUUAAGCCAUAGAUGUUUUAUGAAACAUUUUUGUCAAAAGGAUGAACACAUGUAGACAUGUUUAAAAUGUAAUUAUAAUUUAUGCCCCUUUUCCAUAGUUUGUAUAAUUAAUUUUAAUUCUGAAUGUGCUUAAACACUGGUAAAACUAAAUAAAAGUUCUUUUAUUUUUCA
Siniperca chuatsi (mandarin fish) is the source of this 2561-nucleotide long non-coding RNA. RefSeq lists it as uncharacterized. The record is from RefSeq and is a predicted model, not a curated record. The transcript has 2 exons. Lineage: Eukaryota; Metazoa; Chordata; Actinopteri; Centrarchiformes; Sinipercidae.